ACGUAGGGUGCAAGCGUAAUCGGAAUUACUGGGCGUAAAGCGUGCGCAGGCGGUUAUAUAAGACAGAUGUGAAAUCCCGGGCUCAACCUGGGAACUGCAUUUGUGACUGUAUAGCUAGAGUACGGUAGAGGGGGAUGAAUUCCGCGUGUAGCAGUGAAAUGCGUAGAUAUGCGGAGGAACACCGAUGGCGAAGGCAACCCCUGGACCUGUACUGACGCUCAUGCACGAAAGCGUGGGGAGCAAACAGGAUUAGAUACCUGGUAGUCCACGCCCUAAACGAUGUCAACUGGUUGUUGGGUCUUCACUGACUCAGUAACAAGCUAACGCGUGAAGUUGACCGCCUGGGGAGUACGGCCGCAAGGUUGAAACUCAAAGGAUUGACGGGGACCCGCACAAGCGGUGGAUGAUGUGGUUUAAUUCGAUGCAACGCGAAAAACUUACCCACCUUUGACAUGUACGGAAGUUACCAGAGAUGGUUUCGUGCUCGAAAGAGAACCUAACACAGGUGCUGCAUGGCUGUCGUCAGCUCGUGUCGUGAGAUGUUGGGUUAAGUCCCGAACGAGCGCAACCCUUGCCAUUAGUUGCUACAUUCAGUUGGGCACUCUAAUGGGACUGCCGUGACAAACCGGAGGAAGGUGGGGAUGACGUCAAGUCCUCAUGGCCCUUAUAGGUGGGGCACACACGUCAUACAAUGGCUGGUACAGAAGGUUGCCAACCCGCGAGGGGGAGCUAAUCCUUAAAGCCAGUCGUAGUCCGGAUCGCAGUCUGAAACUCGACUGCGUGAAGUCGGAAUCGCUGUAAUCGCGGAUCAGAAUGUCGCGGUGAAUACGUUCCCGGGUCUUGCACUCACCGCCCGU
RNAcentral lists this ribosomal RNA (857 nucleotides) under uncultured Acidovorax sp. RNAcentral's name for it is "bacterial SSU rRNA". It matches the Rfam family "Bacterial small subunit ribosomal RNA", at positions 525 to 1397 of the family's 1533-position model. Lineage: Bacteria; Pseudomonadati; Pseudomonadota; Betaproteobacteria; Burkholderiales; Comamonadaceae. The record is from RNAcentral.